GGUUUGGGCAUGCGCCCAUCACAUUGAUCUCCACGACUGUACAGGAAUUAUUGCCAUACAAGAUUAUGCAGAUGCCAUUUGGCCUGCAGAACAGAGGCCCAUUACCAUUACCCUACUUGAAAUGCAAUGGAAACACACCUGCAGAUGUGCAUACCAUCAAAUGUACAACCCUGACCUCCUUCAUCCCCAGUGGUUCCAUGGUCAUUGGUUAUCACACCUGCACUGGCUCCACAAUCCUCCCCAUCCACACCAGGCUUGGCUCCGUCCCCAUCCACACCUGCACUGGCUCUGUCCACACAUGAACUGGCUCCAUCCACAACCACACAUGCUCAGUCUUCAUUUACUGCCUCCAAGAAUCAAACAGAGAGUAAAUGUCACACUGUUUAGUGGUUAUGCUAAAGAAGUAUUUGGACACAUUAAAAGGAAACAUACUGAUCAUUCAAAAGAUAUAACAAUGCAAUCACAUCUGUCCACUGUGUGUACUGACUCAUCAAACAGAGUGUCAGCUGUUCAGAGGAGUGGCCGUGGUUUUUCUGUAUCGGUGCAUUUGCAAAGAAAGACAUCAUUACGUCAGGUGUGAGUUGGAGGAGUGCUGGCAAUACAAGCUGCUUUCUUACUGGAAACGAAGCCACGUGCAAUCAUCUCCAAAUUCACUGAUUGCCAGAACUCCUCAAUGUCUACUUCCCCCUUGACCCCACAUUCCAGUGACAAGUACAAUUCUUCUGGCUUGUCUUUAGGACCUGAGCAUGAAUCAACAUUCAAACAACAUUCAUACCACACAAUUGAGGACACUGAAGAGUGUGGACCUCAAUGUGAAGAAGUCACAAAUAGCAAAAACGUUGCUGCCUGCCAAGCAUGAUGGUCUUUAAGAUACCAUUUAGCUCAAAAUGAACUGCUCAACUACGUACUGGACAUUGAGAGCCCAGGGAAUGAGCUGAUUGAAAUGCAUGCCUGACCCGUGCAAACCUUUGGGUCUUGGGCUUGAACAGAGUCAUGGAGGCAACUGGAUAUUGCAUAUAGGAUAAUGCCUGGAAAACGGACCGAAAAGACAGGCCUUGAUUUGCAUAAAAAAUCAAGUAAGUCUGCAUUGUACAUGGUGCUGGAUGCCCAAUUUGACUACACAAUUCCAUGGAAAAAUGUUUGCCCACUACACUGAGGAGUCCAAAGUCUUCCUGAGAGGUGAUCUUCAGCCUGUAUUUAGAUUGAGAAAAAGGAGGUUUGAAGAAAUCUCUCAGGAAGAGACUUUCCAUCACAGGCAGGUAUCACCAUCACAGGCAGAUGAAACAAAUAGUUUGUUCCUGCAGCCUGCACUGGAGAAGGCAGUGGUUCAGUCUCCACAAAAAGUGGGUUUUGUUUGAGAGGUAGCAACAUCAGGCCAAAGUCUGUGUCAUGAUGGACCUAAAGACUGCCAGUCAGGUGUGUGUGGAGCACUCUAAUGACCUCAUUGGGUCAGUUCAGCUGCCUCGGAUUCUUUGUAUGGAGGAUGAAGUUGCAGAGGUGCUGGACAGGUUCUUUAUUGCAGAGUUCAUGGAUCAUGAUUGUAGAGUAUGAACGGAGAAUCAUGAUUCUGAAUGCAAUGCACACAUUCUUGCAGAUGGUCAUAAAACCCCCACACAUCCUCGUGCCUUCUAAAACCCCCUUCUGAGAUGGGAAAGGAAUGUGAGACUUUGAAUGGCACAAUGUGUUCCUAACAUUUAAAACCCAGAAGGGCUUAAUUUUAAGGAAAUAUGUUUUAUCCCUGUAUGCUUGUGUAUUUUUGUUGUUAGAUCAAACUAGUUAAAAUUGUAAGUUGUGUAGUUAAACUCUGACGGCUUAAAUAAACAGCCUAAGUAUCUAUAUUCACCUUUUAAUUGCACCAAAUACACGCUUCUUGGUAUCAAAUUAAACCUUACGACUUGUCCUAGCUGAAUAUAAAUAUAAGGUUACAUUAAAAUGUAUUCUGCUAUGUGUUACCAUCUUUUGAGUGAUUCAACCCAAAAUCCUGACCUGGUCGUAAAUCAUGCAAAUGACUAGCCGUGACAAGACAAAGGGAACCAUCUCGCGCCCAAAACGGAGGCGUCCCAUUGGGCCAUUCCUCCCAAAGGAGGCGUGACCUCCCUACCUUAAAAGUCAGCAUCCGGCAUUGAAUUGUCCUCUUACUCUCUUGUCCUGUGUUCUCUGAUCUCUCUCUCCAAGCUCUCUUGCUUUUUCUUUGUGUUACUUUCGUCAGACAUGUCUUUUGUUUUAUUUGGCGUUUAUCUCAGUCUUUUAUUUGUCUUCAGACAAAGCUCAACACUCUACGUUUUUGGAGCAGUCCGAUAUCCUCCGGGUGAAAGGACUCUCUCUCAGUUUCAACCAUUACUCCUAAGAUGCUUUGAACUCCCCGCGAGUGAUCCACGCUCGGGGAGCACCAACAGAAAUCCUCCAUCUCACGGACGCCACGAGGACACGAUAAACACGCAGUCUUGUUCAGCGACACAAAGGUCCAUUGUGCAAGUAUUAUUUCAUCUAAAUUCCAAUGCGUUAAAGUGUGUAACUCCUUGAUGGCUGUGAAGGUUUAACGAAUUGUAACAAGUUUGCUAUAUCAUAAUCUCUUUAUUUUCCUCACUGUUUUGCUUUGUUUGUUUCAUGUUAUAUGUUAAAUGUUUGUUUGUUAAGUUUGUGAUAUAUCCUAGUUCCUUGUAUUAAACCCAAUUAUACGCUUGAUUGUCUGUGUUUGUUGGUCAUAAAACAAAGCCUCUUCAUGUGCGAUCUAAAGCUACGAGCUGAUAUUAUCAAAGUAAGUUAACGUGCUUUGAUUAAGUAAGCUUAUACUAAGAAUAAACCUUCUGGAGAAUUGAUCACGAGUAUUUAGCAAAGCGGUUCGCUGGACGAACUGGUUAGUUGCGAUACGGGUCAAUUCCCUUAAGGUGUUCUGAAAAUUAAUAUAGCCUGUCUGCAUAUGAUGUAUAUUCCUAAUUAAUUAUAAUUCGUUGUGUUUAAUUAUCUAUAUAUAUUUGAAGCAGACUCUUGGACUAUAUAAGCCCUUUUUGGGGCAAUUUGUAUGUAUUGUUAUCUAGUUCAAACCGUAUGAUUAAUCAUUGAUUACGAUCAUUAAAAUUAAUUGUACAUUCCCCAAACCUGAACCUAGAUACCCUGCAUGAUGCUGUAGAGCCAUUGAUGUUUGUUUUUACAUUUAUGCAGGACAUGCAGACAUUUCUGAAGCAUGUUGUUGACCAAAUGAAGCUGAGGAUCAACUGCCGAACAGAACAAAUUGAGUAAUUGUAAUAAUAGUCCCUUUAAUUUAUUUUGUGUUGGUUUAUCAUGUAUGUAUUAUGUUAAAUAGUCCACAUUGUUUCAUAGUGGUGUUAUAGAA
This is a long non-coding RNA of Xyrauchen texanus (razorback sucker), 3334 nucleotides long. RefSeq lists it as uncharacterized. The transcript has 11 exons. The record is from RefSeq and is a predicted model, not a curated record. NCBI's taxonomy places the organism in Eukaryota, Metazoa, Chordata, Actinopteri, Cypriniformes, Catostomidae.